Molecule: ribosomal RNA, 491 nt
Filed under: uncultured bacterium
Lineage: Bacteria
Description: partial 16S ribosomal RNA
Rfam family: Bacterial small subunit ribosomal RNA
Source: RNAcentral
AGUGAACGCUGGCGAUAGGCCUAACACAUGCAAGUCGAACGGCAGCACAGUAAGAGCUUGCUCUUACGGGUGGCGAGUGGCGGGCGGUGAGGAAUACAUCGGAAUCUACUUUUUCGUGGGGGAUAACGUAGGGAAACUUACGCUAAUACCGCAUACGACCUACGGGUGAAAGCAGGGGAUCUUCGGACCUUGCGCGAUUGAAUGAGCCGAUGUCGGAUUAGCUAGUUGGCGGGGUAAAGGCCCACCAAGGCGACGAUCCGUAGCUGGUCUGAGAGGAUGAUCAGCCACACUGGAACUGAGACACGGUCCAGACUCCUACGGGAGGCAGCAGUGGGGAAUAUUGGACAAUGGGCGCAAGCCUGAUCCAGCCAUACCGCGUGGGUGAAGAAGGCCUUCGGGUUGUAAAGCCCUUUUGUUGGGAAAGAAAAGCAGCAGGUUAAUACCCCGCUGUUCUGACGGUACCCAAAGAAUAAGCACCGGCUAACUUCGUG